This 251-nucleotide ribosomal RNA is filed under the name uncultured prokaryote. Its description in RNAcentral is "partial 16S rRNA". It matches the Rfam family "Bacterial small subunit ribosomal RNA", at positions 525 to 775 of the family's 1533-position model. The record is from RNAcentral.
ACGUAUGGGGCUAGCGUUGUCCGGAAUUACUGGGCGUAAAGGGCGUCUAGGCGGCGGAUUAAGUCGGGAGUGAAAUCCCUGGGCUCAACGCAGGAACUGCAUCCAAAACUGGUUCUCUUGAGUUCGGGAGAGGAAAGCGGAAUUCCCGGUGUAGCGGUGAAAUGCGUAGAUAUCGGGAAGAACACCAGUGGCGAAGGCGGCUCUCUGGCCUGGAACUGACGCUGAGGCGCGAAAGCGUGGGGAGCGAACAG